RNAcentral lists this ribosomal RNA (253 nucleotides) under uncultured bacterium. RNAcentral's name for it is "partial 16S ribosomal RNA". It matches the Rfam family "Bacterial small subunit ribosomal RNA", at positions 524 to 776 of the family's 1533-position model. The record is from RNAcentral.
GACAGAGGGGGCAAGCGUUGCUCGGAAUCACUGGGCGUAAAGGGCGCGUAGGCGGCCCGGUAAGUCAAAGGUGAAAUCCCUCGGCUCAACUGAGGAACUGCCUUUGAAACUGUCGGGCUUGAGGCCGGGAGGGGGUAGCGGAAUUCCCAGUGUAGCGGUGAAAUGCGUAGAUAUUGGGAGGAACACCGGUGGCGAAGGCGGCUACCUGGACCGGUUCUGACGCUGAUGCGCGAAAGCGUGGGUAGCAAACAGG